AUUGCUGACGACCGGCGCACGGGUGCGUAACGCGUAUAGAACCUACCUUAUAUUGGGGGAUAGCCCAGAGAAAUUUGGAUUAAUACCCCAUGGUAUGCUGAUUUGGCAUCGAAUUGGCAUUAAAGAUUUAUCGAUAUAAGAUGGCUAUGCGUCCUAUUAGCUAGUUGGUAUGGUAACGGCAUACCAAGGCUACGAUAGGUAGGGGUCCUGAGAGGGAGAUCCCCCACACUGGUACUGAGACACGGACCAGACUCCUACGGGAGGCAGCAGUGAGGAAUAUUGGACAAUGGAGGCAACUCUGAUCCAGCCAUGCCGCGUGCAGGAAGACUGCCCUAUGGGUUGUAAACUGCUUUUAUAGAGGAAGAAACCUCCCGACGUGUCGGGAUCUGACGGUACUCUACGAAUAAGGAUCGGCUAACUCCGUGCCAGCAGCCGCGGUAAUACGGAGGAUCCAAGCGUUAUCCGGAAUCAUUGGGUUUAAAGGGUCCGUAGGCGGGCGUAUAAGUCAGUGGUGAAAGUUUGCGGCUCAACCGUAAAAUUGCCAUUGAUACUGUAUGUCUUGAAUUAUUGUGAAGUGGUUAGAAUAUGUAGUGUAGCGGUGAAAUGCAUAGAUAUUACAUAGAAUACCGAUUGCGAAGGCAGAUCACUAACAAUUGAUUGACGCUAAGGGACGAAAGCGUGGGUAGCGAACAGGAUUAGAUACCCUGGUAGUCCACGCCGUAAACGAUGGUUACUAGCUGUUUGGUUUUCGGACUGAGUGGCUAAGCGAAAGUGAUAAGUAACCCACCUGGGGAGUACGUUCGCAAGAAUGAAACUCAAAGGAAUUGACGGGGGCCCGCACAAGCGGUGGAGCAUGUGGUUUAAUUCGAUGAUACGCGAGGAACCUUACCAG
Molecule: ribosomal RNA, 892 nt
Filed under: uncultured bacterium
Lineage: Bacteria
Description: bacterial SSU rRNA
Rfam family: Bacterial small subunit ribosomal RNA
Source: RNAcentral